AAGGAAUUAGUUUAAAUUAAAACAUUAACUUGUCAAGUUAAAAUUAUUAUAUAUAGUAUUCUUUA
Molecule: transfer RNA, 65 nt
Filed under: Palomena viridissima
Lineage: Eukaryota; Metazoa; Arthropoda; Insecta; Hemiptera; Pentatomidae
Description: tRNA-Asp
Rfam family: tRNA
About the family: Transfer RNA (tRNA) molecules are approximately 80 nucleotides in length. Their secondary structure includes four short double-helical elements and three loops (D, anti-codon, and T loops). Further hydrogen bonds mediate the characteristic L-shaped molecular structure. tRNAs have two regions of fundamental functional importance: the anti-codon, which is responsible for specific mRNA codon recognition, and the 3' end, to which the tRNAs corresponding amino acid is attached (by aminoacyl-tRNA synthetases). tRNAs cope with the degeneracy of the genetic code in two manners: having more than one tRNA (with a specific anti-codon) for a particular amino acid; and 'wobble' base-pairing, i.e. permitting non-standard base-pairing at the 3rd anti-codon position.
Source: RNAcentral